Molecule: long non-coding RNA, 251 nt
Organism: Cynoglossus semilaevis (tongue sole)
Lineage: Eukaryota; Metazoa; Chordata; Actinopteri; Pleuronectiformes; Cynoglossidae
Exons: 3
Source: RefSeq, a predicted model, not a curated record
UCCUCAUGCAGCUGACUUUGGCUUUGCCCGGUACCUCCAGAGCAACAUGAUGGCUGCUACUCUGUGUGGGUCACCAAUGUAUAUGGCGCCCGAGGUUAUCAUGUCACAGAACUAUGACGCCAAAGCCGACCUCUGGAGCAUAGGCACGGUCAUCUACCAGUGUUUGGUUGGCAAACCGCCGUUCCAGGCCAACAGUCCCCAAGACCUGAGGAUGUUUUAUGAGAAGAACAAGAACCUACAGCCUAUGUAAG